RNAcentral lists this ribosomal RNA (2933 nucleotides) under Escherichia coli. RNAcentral's name for it is "bacterial LSU rRNA". It matches the Rfam family "Bacterial large subunit ribosomal RNA". The record is from RNAcentral. Lineage: Bacteria; Pseudomonadati; Pseudomonadota; Gammaproteobacteria; Enterobacterales; Enterobacteriaceae.
GGGUUGUGAGGUUAAGCGACUAAGCGUACACGGUGGAUGCCCUGGCAGUCAGAGGCGAUGAAGGACGUGCUAAUCUGCGAUAAGCGUCGGUAAGGUGAUAUGAACCGUUAUAACCGGCGAUUUCCGAAUGGGGAAACCCAGUGUGAUUCGUCACACUAUCAUUAACUGAAUCCAUAGGUUAAUGAGGCGAACCGGGGGAACUGAAACAUCUAAGUACCCCGAGGAAAAGAAAUCAACCGAGAUUCCCCCAGUAGCGGCGAGCGAACGGGGAGGAGCCCAGAGCCUGAAUCAGUGUGUGUGUUAGUGGAAGCGUCUGGAAAGGCGCGCGAUACAGGGUGACAGCCCCGUACACAAAAAUGCACAUAUUGUGAGCUCGAUGAGUAGGGCGGGACACGUGGUAUCCUGUCUGAAUAUGGGGGGACCAUCCUCCAAGGCUAAAUACUCCUGACUGACCGAUAGUGAACCAGUACCGUGAGGGAAAGGCGAAAAGAACCCCGGCGAGGGGAGUGAAAAAGAACCUGAAACCGUGUACGUACAAGCAGUGGGAGCACGCUUAGGCGUGUGACUGCGUACCUUUUGUAUAAUGGGUCAGCGACUUAUAUUCUGUAGCAAGGUUAACCGAAUAGGGGAGCCGAAGGGAAACCGAGUCUUAACUGGGCGUUAAGUUGCAGGGUAUAGACCCGAAACCCGGUGAUCUAGCCAUGGGCAGGUUGAAGGUUGGGUAACACUAACUGGAGGACCGAACCGACUAAUGUUGAAAAAUUAGCGGAUGACUUGUGGCUGGGGGUGAAAGGCCAAUCAAACCGGGAGAUAGCUGGUUCUCCCCGAAAGCUAUUUAGGUAGCGCCUCGUGAAUUCAUCUCCGGGGGUAGAGCACUGUUUCGGCAAGGGGGUCAUCCCGACUUACCAACCCGAUGCAAACUGCGAAUACCGGAGAAUGUUAUCACGGGAGACACACGGCGGGUGCUAACGUCCGUCGUGAAGAGGGAAACAACCCAGACCGCCAGCUAAGGUCCCAAAGUCAUGGUUAAGUGGGAAACGAUGUGGGAAGGCCCAGACAGCCAGGAUGUUGGCUUAGAAGCAGCCAUCAUUUAAAGAAAGCGUAAUAGCUCACUGGUCGAGUCGGCCUGCGCGGAAGAUGUAACGGGGCUAAACCAUGCACCGAAGCUGCGGCAGCGACGCUGAUGCGUUGUUGGGUAGGGGAGCGUUCUGUAAGCCUGCGAAGGUGUGCUGUGAGGCAUGCUGGAGGUAUCAGAAGUGCGAAUGCUGACAUAAGUAACGAUAAAGCGGGUGAAAAGCCCGCUCGCCGGAAGACCAAGGGUUCCUGUCCAACGUUAAUCGGGGCAGGGUGAGUCGACCCCUAAGGCGAGGCCGAAAGGCGUAGUCGAUGGGAAACAGGUUAAUAUUCCUGUACUUGGUGUUACUGCGAAGGGGGGACGGAGAAGGCUAUGUUGGCCGGGCGACGGUUGUCCCGGUUUAAGCGUGUAGGCUGGUUUUCCAGGCAAAUCCGGAAAAUCAAGGCUGAGGCGUGAUGACGAGGCACUACGGUGCUGAAGCAACAAAUGCCCUGCUUCCAGGAAAAGCCUCUAAGCAUCAGGUAACAUCAAAUCGUACCCCAAACCGACACAGGUGGUCAGGUAGAGAAUACCAAGGCGCUUGAGAGAACUCGGGUGAAGGAACUAGGCAAAAUGGUGCCGUAACUUCGGGAGAAGGCACGCUGAUAUGUAGGUGAAGUCCCUCGCGGAUGGAGCUGAAAUCAGUCGAAGAUACCAGCUGGCUGCAACUGUUUAUUAAAAACACAGCACUGUGCAAACACGAAAGUGGACGUAUACGGUGUGACGCCUGCCCGGUGCCGGAAGGUUAAUUGAUGGGGUUAGCCGCAAGGCGAAGCUCUUGAUCGAAGCCCCGGUAAACGGCGGCCGUAACUAUAACGGUCCUAAGGUAGCGAAAUUCCUUGUCGGGUAAGUUCCGACCUGCACGAAUGGCGUAAUGAUGGCCAGGCUGUCUCCACCCGAGACUCAGUGAAAUUGAACUCGCUGUGAAGAUGCAGUGUACCCGCGGCAAGACGGAAAGACCCCGUGAACCUUUACUAUAGCUUGACACUGAACAUUGAGCCUUGAUGUGUAGGAUAGGUGGGAGGCUUUGAAGUGUGGACGCCAGUCUGCAUGGAGCCGACCUUGAAAUACCACCCUUUAAUGUUUGAUGUUCUAACGUUGACCCGUAAUCCGGGUUGCGGACAGUGUCUGGUGGGUAGUUUGACUGGGGCGGUCUCCUCCUAAAGAGUAACGGAGGAGCACGAAGGUUGGCUAAUCCUGGUCGGACAUCAGGAGGUUAGUGCAAUGGCAUAAGCCAGCUUGACUGCGAGCGUGACGGCGCGAGCAGGUGCGAAAGCAGGUCAUAGUGAUCCGGUGGUUCUGAAUGGAAGGGCCAUCGCUCAACGGAUAAAAGGUACUCCGGGGAUAACAGGCUGAUACCGCCCAAGAGUUCAUAUCGACGGCGGUGUUUGGCACCUCGAUGUCGGCUCAUCACAUCCUGGGGCUGAAGUAGGUCCCAAGGGUAUGGCUGUUCGCCAUUUAAAGUGGUACGCGAGCUGGGUUUAGAACGUCGUGAGACAGUUCGGUCCCUAUCUGCCGUGGGCGCUGGAGAACUGAGGGGGGCUGCUCCUAGUACGAGAGGACCGGAGUGGACGCAUCACUGGUGUUCGGGUUGUCAUGCCAAUGGCACUGCCCGGUAGCUAAAUGCGGAAGAGAUAAGUGCUGAAAGCAUCUAAGCACGAAACUUGCCCCGAGAUGAGUUCUCCCUGACUCCUUGAGAGUCCUGAAGGAACGUUGAAGACGACGACGUUGAUAGGCCGGGUGUGUAAGCGCAGCGAUGCGUUGAGCUAACCGGUACUAAUGAACCGUGAGGCUUAACCUUACAACGCCGAAGGUGUUU